CACUCCGGUGGCCUAGUGGUUAGAGCGUCCGCCUCGGAUGCGGGAGAUCGCGGGUUCGAAGCCUGGCUGAGUCA
This is a non-coding RNA of Potamilus streckersoni, 74 nucleotides long. The record is from the annotation of a GenBank genome assembly. Lineage: Eukaryota; Metazoa; Mollusca; Bivalvia; Unionida; Unionidae.